Long non-coding RNA from Daphnia pulex (common water flea), 883 nucleotides. RefSeq lists it as uncharacterized. Lineage: Eukaryota; Metazoa; Arthropoda; Branchiopoda; Diplostraca; Daphniidae. The record is from RefSeq and is a predicted model, not a curated record. The transcript has 6 exons.
CAUCUAGGACACAGAAGAGGACAUCUGGCGGCCAGAUUUAUCUUCAGUUGUUGGGCGCAGGCUAGGUAGCCGUUUAGUCCCUACCUUCUUCUUUGUUCUUUGUUAGUUGAAGCGUGGCUUCGAGAGUGAAGGACGCCAUUAUCCUUCGAUUGGGGUUUCGAACUUUCGAUGUUAGCUGGAUUGUUGGCAGAUUGAUUGUUUAGAAUUUGUGAAUUGUGAUGUCUAACAGUUGGAUCGGGUUGGCGGACGGGGGGUGCUUGCUACUAUUUUGACGAAUCUUGAAGCUUAAGAUUUUGAAACCAUGCUGUCCACCAAUUCGUCUACGUCCAGAAGAUGAGUAACAUUUUACAUACAAUGUUCUGAAAGGUUGAUUAAACUGAUGAAAUUUAGGAUAAUGAUAUUUUUUUUGUUUGAUUGCAGGCACCUUUAGUAUAUGGAGCUUCACUCAUCCUAUCGUGUAUUCUACAUCUAUUUACCUUUGCUGUUAAAGUCAACAUGUACCCUAAUUGAAGGCAAAUGAAUUUUGAUGCUGAAAGACUUGGAAACCAUGCUGUCGACCACGUCGAGAAGCUGAGUAACAUUCUGCUUUUACAAUGGCACCUCUUAAUAAAAGAAACUUCAGCCAUCCAAUCUAGGGCUUCCAUCAAAUCGUGCAGGCUGCAUGGAAGUUGCAUUUACCUUUGCUGUGAACAUCAUGAACACAUACACUAUUUGAAGGUUCAUGUUUACGUAGCAGUGGUGUUGCUGUCCAAUGUGGUGUGUUGUUGCAGCCUAUGGUGGUGAAAGAUAUCUGCAUCAAGUUGCUGUUCCUUGUGCAUCCAAGUUUACCUUUAUAUAUUGAGAAGGAACAAAAAAAUAGUAAUACGGGGAGGUUUAUGUCAAA